UUCGCAUCCGCUGGCCUGGAUUAUUACGAAUCAGUGGAAGUUCUCUCAUUUCUUGAAGGAAGAACAAGGUUUGAAGGGAUUUCAUGGAACCAGGAAGAGACUUUUAACGCUUAUGCUGCUGAGGAGCCUCCUCAACCAAAGCCAGAGUUUGAUUCAGGUUACAUGAAGGAUGGUUCGUCUCAAAAGGACUGCAGGAGCUGGAAGGGACAAGGGGAUACAGAAGAUGACUGGGGAGAAACCUAUAGUAAGACAAGGAUACCCGCUUUGUUUGUUGCUAGCAUCUCUAGGUAUGCUUCUGGUUGA
RNAcentral lists this ribosomal RNA (303 nucleotides) under Triticum aestivum (bread wheat). RNAcentral describes it as "partial small subunit ribosomal RNA". Lineage: Eukaryota; Viridiplantae; Streptophyta; Magnoliopsida; Poales; Poaceae. The record is from RNAcentral.